Molecule: ribosomal RNA, 274 nt
Filed under: uncultured prokaryote
Description: partial 16S ribosomal RNA
Rfam family: Bacterial small subunit ribosomal RNA
Source: RNAcentral
UACAGAGGGUGCAAGCGUUAAUCGGAGUUACUGGGCGUAAAGGGUGCGUAGGCGGUUUGAUGAGUGUGAUGUGAAAGCCCUGGGCUUAACCUAGGAAGUGCAUCGCAAACGAUCGAACUGGAGUAGAUGAGAGGGUGGCGGAAUUUCCGGUGUAGCGGUGAAAUGCGUAGAGAUCGGAAGGAACGUCAAUGGCGAAGGCAGCCACCUGGCAUCAUACUGACGCUGAGGCACGAAAGCGUGGGGAGCGAACAGGAUUAGAAACCCCCUGUAGUCC